GAAGCCCUUUAGCCUUUCCGCUAUGUGAUGCUGCAUGAUCUGCAACUGUCGAUCUAAUGCCACCCGCUUCAAGUGUGGAGUACAGGAUAGUCGAUGCAGU
Ipomoea nil (Japanese morning glory) is the source of this 100-nucleotide long non-coding RNA. RefSeq lists it as uncharacterized. Lineage: Eukaryota; Viridiplantae; Streptophyta; Magnoliopsida; Solanales; Convolvulaceae. The record is from RefSeq and is a predicted model, not a curated record. The transcript has 4 exons.